This 253-nucleotide ribosomal RNA is filed under the name uncultured bacterium. RNAcentral's name for it is "partial 16S ribosomal RNA". It matches the Rfam family "Bacterial small subunit ribosomal RNA", at positions 524 to 776 of the family's 1533-position model. The record is from RNAcentral.
UACGUAGGGUGCAAGCGUUGUCCGGAAUUAUUGGGCGUAAAGAGCUCGUAGGCGGUUUGUCGCGUCUGCUGUGAAAACCCGAGGCUCAACCUCGGGCCUGCAGUGGGUACGGGCAGACUAGAGUGCGGUAGGGGAGAUUGGAAUUCCUGGUGUAGCGGUGGAAUGCGCAGAUAUCAGGAGGAACACCGAUGGCGAAGGCAGAUCUCUGGGCCGUAACUGACGCUGAGGAGACGAAGCAUGGGGAGCGAACAGG